GAUGAGCGCUGGCGGCGUGCCUAAUACAUGCAAGUCGAGCGAACGGACGAGAAGCUUGCUUCUCUGAUGUUAGCGGCGGACGGGUGAGUAACACGUGGAUAACCUACCUAUAAGACUGGGAUAACUUCGGGAAACCGUAGCUAAUACCGGAUAAUAUUUUGAACCGCAUGGUUCAAAAGUGAAAGACGGUCUUGCUGUCACUUAUAGAUGGAUCCGCGCUGCAUUAGCUAGUUGGUAAGGUAACGGCUUACCAAGGCAACGAUGCAUAGCCGACCUGAGAGGGUGAGCGGCCACACUGGAACUGAGACACGGUCCAGACUCCUACGGGAGGCAGCAGUAGGGAAUCUUCCGCAAAGGGCGAAAGCCUGACGGAGCAACGCCGCGUGAGUGAUGAAGGUCUUCGGAUCGUAAAACUCUGUUAUUAGGGAAGAACAUAUGUGUAAGUAACUGUGCACAUCUUGACGGUACCUAAUCAGAAAGCCACGGCUAACUACGUG
This 497-nucleotide ribosomal RNA is filed under the name uncultured bacterium. Its description in RNAcentral is "partial 16S ribosomal RNA". It matches the Rfam family "Bacterial small subunit ribosomal RNA", at positions 28 to 507 of the family's 1533-position model. The record is from RNAcentral.